This 900-nucleotide ribosomal RNA is filed under the name uncultured bacterium. RNAcentral's name for it is "bacterial SSU rRNA". It matches the Rfam family "Bacterial small subunit ribosomal RNA", at positions 1 to 917 of the family's 1533-position model. The record is from RNAcentral.
CCUUAGAGUUUGAUCCUGGCUCAGGACGAACGCUGGCGGCGCGCCUAACACAUGCAAGUCGAACGAGAGAUGAGGAGCUUGCUCUUCAAAUCGAGUGGCGAACGGGUGAGUAACGCGUGAGGAACCUGCCUCAAAGAGGGGGACAACAGUUGGAAACGACUGCUAAUACCGCAUAAGCCCACAGCUCGGCAUCGAGCAGAGGGAAAAGGAGCAAUCCGCUUUGAGAUGGCCUCGCGUCCGAUUAGCUAGUUGGUGAGGUAACGGCCCACCAAGGCGACGAUCGGUAGCCGGACUGAGAGGCUGAACGGCCACAUUGGGACUGAGACACGGCCCAGACUCCUACGGGAGGCAGCAGUGGGGAAUAUUGCACAAUGGGGGAAACCCUGAUGCAGCGACGCCGCGUGGAGGAAGAAGGUCUUCGGAUUGUAAACUCCUGUUGUUGAGGAAGAUAAUGACGGUACUCAACAAGGAAGUGACGGCUAACUACGUGCCAGCAGCCGCGGUAAAACGUAGGUCACAAGCGUUGUCCGGAAUUACUGGGUGUAAAGGGAGCGCAGGCGGGAGAACAAGUUGGAAGUGAAAUCCAUGGGCUCAACCCAUGAACUGCUUUCAAAACUGUUUUUCUUGAGUAGUGCAGAGGUAGGCGGAAUUCCCGGUGUAGCGGUGGAAUGCGUAGAUAUCGGGAGGAACACCAGUGGCGAAGGCGGCCUACUGGGCACCAACUGACGCUGAGGCUCGAAAGUGUGGGUAGCAAACAGGAUUAGAUACCCUGGUAGUCCACACCGUAAACGAUGAUUACUAGGUGUUGGAGGAUUGACCCCUUCAGUGCCGCAGUUAACACAAUAAGUAAUCCACCUGGGGAGUACGACCGCAAGGUUGAAACUCAAAGGAAUUGACGGA